RNAcentral lists this ribosomal RNA (411 nucleotides) under uncultured bacterium. Its description in RNAcentral is "bacterial SSU rRNA". It matches the Rfam family "Bacterial small subunit ribosomal RNA", at positions 354 to 776 of the family's 1533-position model. The record is from RNAcentral.
GUGGGGAAUAUUGCACAAUGGGCGCAAGCCUGAUGCAGCGACGCCGCGUGGGGGAUGACGGCCUUCGGGUUGUAAACUCCUUUCGCAACCGACGAAGCUUUUGUGACGGUAGGUUGAGAAGAAGCACCGGCUAACUACGUGCCAGCAGCCGCGGUAAUACGUAGGGUGCGAGCGUUGUCCGGAAUUACUGGGCGUAAAGAGCUCGUAGGUGGUUUGUCGCGUCGUUUGUGGAAUACCGCAGCUUAACUGCGGGGUUGCAGGCGAUACGGGCAUAACUUGAGUGCUGUAGGGGAGACUGGAAUUCCUGGUGUAGCGGUGGAAUGCGCAGAUAUCAGGAGGAACACCGAUGGCGAAGGCAGGUCUCUGGGCAGUAACUGACGCUGAGGAGCGAAAGCAUGGGGAGCGAACAGG